Solanum pennellii is the source of this 695-nucleotide long non-coding RNA. RefSeq lists it as uncharacterized. The transcript is spliced from 4 exons. The record is from RefSeq and is a predicted model, not a curated record. Lineage: Eukaryota; Viridiplantae; Streptophyta; Magnoliopsida; Solanales; Solanaceae.
UUUCCCUGCCACCCCUUGGUCAUUUUAAAUAACUCCUACAUAAAACCUUCCUCCCCCAUAUGCUAUAACCAUCCCAUCCUCCGCCUUACCUACCAUUCCCUUUGUGAAUUCUUUCAAACAAUAGGUUUCACCUCCACUGCCUUCACAAACAUGGAAGAGUGCUUUGCAACAUCGCACAAUUUUCACUGUUUCAGCUAGGAGUCCUACUACCGACACACACCAAAUCCCUCCAGUUGUUGCCACAGCAAAACGUAAUCCGAUCCCCGCUUAAUCCAGAACUAUAUCGAAUGAAGAAAUACCCCCAUCAACCCCUUCCAACUUUAACCAUCAUACUGUAUUUCCAGGCACCCACUCAAUGGGCAUACAACCAGCCUCUAAACUAUGAAUCAACUACCUGUGAUGCGAAUACGCCCAUCUUAGUAUUUCCAGAUACUUUGCACAUUAUAACUUCUACUUCAUUAUUGUUUUCCCAAGAUAACAUUUUGCUUUUCCCUUUCUUCAGAAAUUGAACUACACAGGCACCCACUCAAUGGGCAUACAAUCAGCCCUCUAAACUAUGAAUCACUGCCUGCGGUGCCAACAAGCCCAUCUAAGGGUGUUAUCUCAUACCAAAAGCAUGUAAACACCAACAUGAAAUUGACAAAUGGAGCCACUGGCUUAUGUUCUGAUACAUUCGUAACUCAUGUUUACACCUU